AACAGACUUCAGUAAUUGAUCAUGCCCCGGUCGUUCAACAAACGUCAUAUAUAGACCACGCCCCUGUCGUUCAACAGGCGUCUUACAUAGACCACGCCCCCGUUGUUCAACAGGCGUCAUAUAUCGAUCACGUGCCUGCCGUUCAACAGUCGUCAUACAUAGAUCACGCCCCGAUUGUGUCGCAUGCCAACCCAAUUUUGUCUGCUCCUGCGCCUAUAACUGAACACGUCGCCCCGGUCGCGCCGCUCCCGACCCCACACAACAUCUACAACUCGAUUCUGGAUAGUGCGAAUCUGAUUGCGCCGUCGCACAAUUUGAAUCUGUUGUCUCUCCUGCAGCCAAGCCACGCUCCGUGGGUGUCGGUCUCGGGCGCGUCCUACGGCCACGGUGGCCACGUCCUUCACAGGUGGUCGGCUGGUCCCAUCCCCUUGGACAGACACAGCCUCACCAUCAGAACUCGACAUUAAACGGACGAUAAGCUGUCGUUAGAUAAGCUGUACUAUAACGACUUCUCCGUGUUUAAGUAACCUAUUUGUUACUCACGGCCCUAGUGUGUUCUUGCAUAUGAUAUAAUGCGUGCAAAAAUACACAUAGGUCUUUAGAAGUUAAGAUGAAUUUGUUGUGUAUCCAGAGCAAAUAAGUGUAUAUAAUUUAUUUUCUGAUUGUGCCUGUAAAUAUACUAUUCUAAUGAAGACAAUAUUAACACAUAUUAUCUUUCAUUUAAAAAUAUCCCUUCUACCUAGAAUAGCUAAUUCGUCAUCGUUUGAAUUUUAAGAACUGAAAAUACAUUUAUUAUAUUACUAAAUACCCAUUCCAUAUUUAUAAGCUUGAAAUUUUUUGCCGCCCGAUACAUCAUAAUCUUUUCCAAAUAAGAUAUAUACUUCAAAAUAGACUUUGUCAAUUUUCUUUUCUAAUAUCCCGUUUAUUAUGCAACUGGACAAUAUUUACCCCUGCUCUCAAACCCAGUACCACCGAGCUAUUACGUAGUCGUGCAAAACUACUUCAAUGAGACGAUAAAACACUUCACUUGGCAGUAAUAUAUGUACCCGCAUACAUAAUAAAUACAACACGUUGCAUGAAUUUAUACCGAACCAACUGCAUUCCUUGGAUUUUUCAAUUGCCACUUCAAUUUUCGUAAUUAUACUGAAAUGCAACAACAAAUAAUGUAUUGCUUCGGGAAAUAUGCACGAAAAUGGGCUUAAUUACCUUAUAACGUGUUUAGGAACAACAUUCAACUCAUAUAUCGUGACCAGGGCGUCAGCGCCGAACACGACGAGCUGGUCCCCGAGCAUGUCCAGCACGAACACCUGCGACUGCACGCGCACGAUCUUCGCGAAGCGGUUGUCGAGCUUCGCGUCGCGCGCGUAGAAGCGCACCUCGUCGUGCCCGUCCAGGAUGCUGUAGCACCCUGCAAGCAUAGCCCUAACUGCGGGUAUCCACGCUUGUGUGGGUAGCCCUAUAGCCGAGUGUCCACACUUGCGUGGGUAGCCCUACAACCCGGUGUCCACACUUGCAUGGGUAGCCCUAGACCCGG
Zerene cesonia (dogface butterfly) is the source of this 1534-nucleotide long non-coding RNA. RefSeq lists it as uncharacterized. The record is from RefSeq and is a predicted model, not a curated record. Lineage: Eukaryota; Metazoa; Arthropoda; Insecta; Lepidoptera; Pieridae. The transcript is spliced from 3 exons.